This 346-nucleotide unclassified non-coding RNA is filed under the name soil metagenome. RNAcentral describes it as "partial contains 5.8S ribosomal RNA, internal transcribed spacer 2, and large subunit ribosomal RNA". The stretch from base 1 to 120 matches the Rfam family "5.8S ribosomal RNA", at positions 35 to 154 of the family's 154-position model. The record is from RNAcentral.
GAUGAAGAACGCAGUGAAAUGCGAUAAGUAGUGAGAAUUGCAGAAUUCCGUGAAUCAUCGAAUCUUUGAAAGCACAUUGCGCCCCCUGGUAUUCCGGGGGGCAUGCCUGUCCGAGCGUCAUUGCUGCCCUCAAGCACGGCUUGUGUGUUGGGCCCCGUCCUCCGAUCCCGGGGGACGGGCCCGAAAGGCAGCGGCGGCACCGCGUCCGGUCCUCGAGCGUAUGGGGCUUUGUCACCCGCUCUGUAGGCCCGGCCGGCGCUUGCCGAUCAACCCAAAUUUUUAUCCAGGUUGACCUCGGAUCAGGUAGGGAUACCCGCUGAACUUAAGCAUAUCAAUAAGCGGAGGA